CAACUCAGCAGGCCUCAAUAUGGAUGUGGAUGAUGAUAAUUCAGAUAGUAGUUUACUUGGGAAAUCAAUCAACUUCUCCAGAUCCUCUUUCCUAAAACGGUUACUAAAAUCCUGCAAGUUGUUGGAAGAGUGAUAAUAUGUUAAUGCAAUAGUCUACAUGAAGAAAUUGAGAGUUCAUACAAAAACAAAAUUGCUAAGACUAAGGAUUCAUUCAGCUGGUGACUAAGGUAACCGCUCAUGGGAGUUUCUAUCAAGAGAUUGAAUGAACGAGUUGAUGAAGACAUGCCUCUUCAUUAAAUUCAUUAACAAACUUUUUACAUCAAUCGUGAGUCCUCUUUAAUUUUAGUUAGCGCUUCUCUUAUGUCUCUUUGUAAAUUACUUACAAUUUUAUAAUUUGUGUUGGUUUAAUUAUUGAUAGUUGUCUCUCAUCGGAUCUGAUGUAAAAUAAUUUUUUACCAUGCACUACAUAACGAAAUAAUUUUUUU
Molecule: long non-coding RNA, 485 nt
Organism: Arabidopsis lyrata subsp. lyrata
Lineage: Eukaryota; Viridiplantae; Streptophyta; Magnoliopsida; Brassicales; Brassicaceae
Exons: 4
Source: RefSeq, a predicted model, not a curated record